This 35762-nucleotide long non-coding RNA is filed under the name Eucalyptus grandis. RNAcentral's name for it is "long non-coding RNA (EGRA_LNC003117)". Lineage: Eukaryota; Viridiplantae; Streptophyta; Magnoliopsida; Myrtales; Myrtaceae. The record is from RNAcentral.
AUGUCGCUAAGUAUCCAGUCGGUCUAGAAUCCCAAGUUCAAAAACUGAUAAGUUUGUCAGAGUCAGCUGGUAGUGAUGUUUUGAUGAUAGGUCUAUGGGGACCUGGCGGCNNNNNNNNNNNNNNNNNNNNNNNNNNNNNNNNNNNNNNNNNNNNNNNNNNNNNNNNNNNNNNNNNNNNNNNNNNNNNNNNNNNNNNNNNNNNNNNNNNNNNNNNNNNNNNNNNNNNNNNNNNNNNNNNNNNNNNNNNNNNNNNNNNNNNNNNNNNNNNNNNNNNNNNNNNNNNNNNNNNNNNNNNNNNNNNNNNNNNNNNNNNNNNNNNNNNNNNNNNNNNNNNNNNNNNNNNNNNNNNNNNNNNNNNNNNNNNNNNNNNNNNNNNNNNNNNNNNNNNNNNNNNNNNNNNNNNNNNNNNNNNNNNNNNNNNNNNNNNNNNNNNNNNNNNNNNNNNNNNNNNNNNNNNNNNNNNNNNNNNNNNNNNNNNNNNNNNNNNNNNNNNNNNNNNNNNNNNNNNNNNNNNNNNNNNNNNNNNNNNNNNNNNNNNNNNNNNNNNNNNNNNNNNNNNNNNNNNNNNNNNNNNNNNNNNNNNNNNNNNNNNNNNNNNNNNNNNNNNNNNNNNNNNNNNNNNNNNNNNNNNNNNNNNNNNNNNNNNNNNNNNNNNNNNNNNNNNNNNNNNNNNNNNNNNNNNNNNNNNNNNNNNNNNNNNNNNNNNNNNNNNNNNNNNNNNNNNNNNNNNNNNNNNNNNNNNNNNNNNNNNNNNNNNNNNNNNNNNNNNNNNNNNNNNNNNNNNNNNNNNNNNNNNNNNNNNNNNNNNNNNNNNNNNNNNNNNNNNNNNNNNNNNNNNNNNNNNNNNNNNNNNNNNNNNNNNNNNNNNNNNNNNNNNNNNNNNNNNNNNNNNNNNNNNNNNNNNNNNNNNNNNNNNNNNNNNNNNNNNNNNNNNNNNNNNNNNNNNNNNNNNNNNNNNNNNNNNNNNNNNNNNNNNNNNNNNNNNNNNNNNNNNNNAGGAAUUAGUUGAUACAGAAAGACUAUGUUGCAAGAAGGUUCUCCUAGUUCUCGAUGAUGUUGAUGACAUGGAUCAACUGAAUGCCUUAGCUGGAAAAGGCGACUGGUUUGGCAAAGGGAGUAGAAUCAUUGUUACAUCAAGAGAUAGACAUUUAUUAACUUCUCAUGACAAAAAUUAUGUGUAUGAAGUUAAAACUUUUGAAGACAAUGAAGCACGAGACCUUUUUGGUAAGCAUGCCUUUACAAACAGCAAUAAAGUAGAAAUAAGAAGGGAUCUCAUUGAUGGAGCACUGCAUUAUGCCGGCGGCCUUCCAUUAGCCUUGGAAGUGUUGGGCUCAUUCCUACGUGGAAGAAAGGAACCUGAAUGGAAAAGUACGUUGCAUAAACUCUCUAAAAUUCCUGAAUCAAAAAUCAAUCGAGUUCUCAAGAUAAGUUUCGAUGGAUUGGACGAGAAUGAGAGGGAAAUUUUCCUUGAUAUUGCUUGUUUCUUUAAGGGGAAAAGUAUAAAGGACAUCAAGGAAGUUCUUGACAGCUGUGAUUUCGACACAAUCAUAGGAAUAAAAAUUCUCAUCGAAAGAUCCUUAAUAAAAAAUGAGGACGAGACCUUGCAAAUGCAUGAUUUGAUUCAGUCGAUGGGUCAAGAUAUUGUUAAUCAAGCAUGUCGUGAUGAUCCUGGGAAACGCAGCAGAUUAUGGCUUUUGGAAGAUGUUGAGGACGUUUUUUGUUAUAAUACGGUAAAAGUUGUUUAUGUUAGUUUUGCUACAUUUCGGUUUACAUUACUCUAAUUUGAACGGUCUAACAUAAAUCUUUAUUGAAAAUUUUGUCUGACAACCGAAUUUGCUCCAUUAUGGAUAGGGGACGGAUGCAGUAAAGGCCAUACUAUUGGACUUGCCCCCACCAGCAGCCAAAGUAGUGGACUUGCCCCCACCAGAAGCAAUAAUCAUUAGACCUGAUGCUUUCAUAAAUAUGAAAAAGUUGAGAAUACUCAUUUUUCUUGGAGUGCAUAUCUCUUCACAAGCUCAAGUACGUCUCCCUAGCGAGCUAAGAUGGCUUGAAUGGCCCAGUGCUCCGAAUCUAGAAUUUGUCUCUAGUCGAAAUAAACUUGUGAGACUCGAUGUCCCGAAAAGUCAUAUCAGACAAUUAGGGGGCAACUUUCAUGUAAGCCAUUGUGAUGAUUAGCUUUUCGUUUUUAUAGCUAUAAUUUUUUUUUUUUUUUGCAGAGCUUAAUGACUUCACUAGUAUGUUUUUGCAGAAAUUUGGAAAGCUGAAGUCCAUCAAUUUCAGUGAAUGCAAGUCCUUGGUUAGUAUUUGCGACCUGUCACCGGCUCCAAAUAUGGAGAAAUUGAUUCUUAAUGGGUGUGAGAGCUUGGUGGAGGUUCACCCAUCCGUUGGAAAUCUUGUCAAGCUAGAAGUUUUAUCGCUAGAGUUGUGCUCUAAUCUUAGUAAUUUUCCCAACACACUGAGGACUAAAUCUCUUCAAACCCUUAAUCUCUCUGGUUGUUCUAAAUUCGAGAAGUUCCCAGAUAUUGACGGAAAGAUGGAACAUCUAAAAAGACUUUAUCUUCGUAGGACGGCUAUUAAAGAACUCCCUGCAUCAAUUGAAAAUCUUGUCUCUGUGGAGUGGAUAAAUUUAGCAUUUUGCAAAAACCUCGUAAGGCUUCCAUGGCACAUUUAUAAGUUGAAAAAACUAGAGUUUUUGAAUCUUCCUGACUACUCUAAUUUAAUCACGUUUCCAAAAAACAUGAAGGAUUCAACUGAUCCCAAUGCUCGUGGGGAAUUCCAAAAUCUAAGGUUCCUAGAACUUAGCCGCUGCAAUCUAUCAGAAGUAGACUUCCUUGAGAGUUUUUCCAGUUUUCCCACAUUGAAGUUCCUGUACCUUUUAGAUAACAAGUUUACUCAUCUGCCGACAUGCAUCAACAAGUACCAUAGUUUGUACGAAUUGUCUGUUGAUAGAUGCGAGCUACUAGAAGAGAUUCCUCAGCUUCCACCAAAUGCCGACCUAUCAGCCAGAUGUUGCAAAUCUCUGCAAAAAUUCCCAGAUCUGGGGGGUCGCCCCGACCUCUCUCUUUCCGUUAACUUGACUUCAUGUUGUGAAUUAUCCCGCAGAGGGGUCACUAUGGCUGAUGUGGCUGAUUUGUCGUUACUAGAGGUCUCUCUCUAUAUAUGUGUAUAUAUAUAUGUCAACUGCAAAUGCUUGAUAUGCGUACUAUCUGUGUGACAGGAUCUGCCAAAGGUGGAUCUUCUCAACAUUUGCCUACCUGGAAGAGAGAUGCCUAAAUGGAUUCUCCCCUGUGAAGGGAAGUCCAUAUCUUUCAUGAUUCCUCAGGAGCUGUACGAUAAGUUCAAAGGAGUAGCUCUCUGUGUUGUUCUUGGCCCGGAGGAAGGAAAAGUGGUCGAUGCUUCAUGUUCAGUUGGAACAUUAACAUAUGUUAAUGGCCGGUCAGCGGGUCAAUUGGCACAAAAUUUUUAUUCAAUGGAAUCUGACCAUGUGUGGUUUCAUUAUCAUCCAGACCUUUUUCUAAAUCUGCGAAAUGAUUGGAGUCAUUACCAAGUUUGCCUCUGGGCAGAAAAAGCAAGCAUAAAGAAGUAUGGAUUCUGUCCAAUAUGCGAGCAAAAGGAGGAUGUUCUGAGGAUGGUGAUCCCAGCACCAUCAGCCGAUGGAAACAAAUUGAAGUUUUCAAGGAGUGAUUCAGAAGAAGAUAGUUCAAUAGACACCAUGGAAGCAGAUGAUCUAUUUGAAAUGUAUGCAGGGGAAAGCUCAUCACGUUUAACAAAGAAGAGAAGAAGGUCUUAACUACGGUGAGACUAUAAGUUCCAAUGUCUUUUCUUUUUCCUUUUCUGGGCCUCCACUAGAGAUUUGCAAGUGCCUGCUCCUUCAAUUAGAAUUCAAGAUCAUUAUAAAACAGGGGUUUCGCACCAUGCUACUAACAUGAUUGAGGAAUUUUUUUUUUUUUUAUGUGUUGUUUCUCUAUAAUUUGUGAUGCAGAGUGCAUUAAACCAAAAAUUAAGAGGAUGCUUGUUAAAAUGGCCAUGGUCUUCCAAGUUGCUCCAUGUAAUUUAUCACACGGGCCUCUGUUGCCUCUCUUAAUCCAAUUAAUGAUGCCAAUAUUUUGUACUUUAAAAUUCUAAGAUAGUAAGUUUUGCUCAAUCUAGUAUAAUAUGUAUCUUCAGGAAAAUAUCGUUUGAAUUGUCUCAAAGAUUAAGAGGUCUACACAGGAAAAAUUAGUUGAUUCCUCUGUUGUUGGUCAGCAGAUUGCAUUGGAUAGGUAUAAAGGGAUAGCGCUGGCUUCUAAGAAACUUUGCAUUUUGGCAAAGGAGGUUGACUUCAAGGAUUUUCAUGAAAAGCAAAUAGUAUGUGGCAAACACCUAAAAUAAGUAUUGCAAAGCAAUUUUUAGAAUGAGAAAAAAGAUUAAAAAGGGAGAAUGAAGGAACUUGUAGGUACAUGUGAAAGCACAAGCGAGUGGCACAACAGUAGGACCAAUGCCGACGUCGUGCGACCCUAGGCAAUAUGCUGCUGAGGUCAACCACCAAACCUAGGGGACGCGACACCAAUGUUGCUUGACCCUAGGCGACACAACACUGAACGCAAGUGUCCCAUGACCUCAAUUGGCAGAAUGUUGGAGCCACACAACUAGGCAACGCAACGCUUCACCCUCGACAAGCUAAAUCUGACAUCAAGUGUCCCAUGACCUCAAUUUCAGCUCAUAAAUUACAAGCUCGUGUCUUUAUCAAGCUUGUUGUUCCAACAUGCAACGAUCUAGAUUUUAAAAACAUGACAUCAAUACGGUUUGAUUGCUACUUCAGUUAAAAUCACGAUGGAUGAUGAGCACGAUUCGGUUCUCCAAUCAAAGCUAAAACCCAUCUCCAAAAAAGGAAAGAAAAGCCCAGAAAGAACACAUCGGAUGCAAUCACCCCCAUCAAUCGAGGGUCCAAAAGGGGAGGUCACAGGGACUAAUACCCAGCCAAACUGAUCAUGUACGCGAAGCAAAUGUGGAAAAAUAAAAAUUCAACACAAAUCAAGAGCAUUGAAGAUCUCAAAUGAAGCACAAAGUAGAACUCACAAGCCAAGUUGUGUUUGGAAAGCAAGGGUGACCCGAGUGUUAGGGUUUCUAGUUAGGGCUUUUUUUUUCUUUUCUUUUUUCCUUCUGAUUUACUCGACAUUAAGUGAGGUGACCGGCAUGAGUGGCGAGUGGCAAGUGUCGAGCGUUGAGUGGGGCGAGCGUCAAUUGGCGGGCAACAAGCGUUGAGCAAGGCAAGCGAUGCGAGUGGCACGCACGAUCAGAGGUGAGCAGCAUGGGCAACCAGAGGCGAGCGGGAUAUUGCUACUUUUGAUUUUGGCAAAUUGAAGAACAAGGAAGAUAGUAUGGAAGAGAACGUACUUUGGGGAAGGAAGCCGUGAGGAGAUUUACAGCGUAAACUUCGCGCCAUUUUGGAUGUCGCGAGUUCGUGACUGUGAGGACUCCUUGGUCCUCACAAUGAAGAUUGAAGAACAUACUCUGGACUAUAGAGGACGUCGUGAAGACCUUUACGACGUAAACUUCACGCCUUUUGGAAUCGGAUGCCGUCUGUUUGUGACUGUGAGCCUGAGGAGUGAACAUCUUCAACAUCAUUUUACUUAGGUUCGAAUAUAUAAAAGAAUUAUAAAUAAUAUAAUAUAACAGACAUUUUACUUAGAUUUGAAUAUAUAAAAGAAUUAUAAAUAAUAUAAUAUAAUAUAUAUGGUAGGUCAAGGGUUGGACCGACCAAAAACUCUUAGGACCGGAGACUAACUCGCACAGUGUUGGUCCUGGAAUUUCAGGACCAAAGACCGACCCAGUCCCCUUGGGAACCGGACCAGGACUGACAGGGUUGGGCCGAACCAGGGUCGGUCCAGGGUCGACCCUAGACCGCUGCUCACCUCUACUGCUUCGCUCCUUCUCUCUCUCUCUCUCUCUCUCUCUCUCUCUCUCUCUCUCUCUCUCUCUCUCUCUCAUGUGCAAAUAAAUUUAUACUCCACAAAGGACAGGAAAGAACUACCAACGCUAGUGACCCUCUUUUGGAUGUCACCCCAUAAAGAGUAUUGUUGACAUCUGAAUUUUGUCCAUUGUUCAAGUGUCCAUUUUGGGCAAAAACAUAAAAGUGCAAAUAAUAAUAAUUAGAAUUAGUUCCGCCCAAAAUCUAAUCCCCUCAGCCCAUCUUUUAGUUCCCUUUGAGCCCAUUUCUUUUGUUCCUUAUGUUGUCCUCAAUAGCCCAUCUGAACUUAAAACAAGAAGGCCCAGCCCAUAUCCCAGGCUCCUUCUCUUUUGCCUGCUCCCCGUCCGUGAGCGACGAAGACGCGAGCAGUGACCGAGCAAGAGAGGCGUCCGUGAGUCGGUCCGUGAGAGAACAGCGAGAGAGGGAAAAUAACAUAAAAGAUUCCUUCUCGGAGAGAGAGAGGGGAGGAGGACGCUCGACGACAUGGAGAGGGCGUGCUCGACCAUAUAGGUGAGCAGGGGAGCUAGCUCGAAUGGGAGAGAAAGGGAGAGUGCAUCCCGUUUCGGAGUAGCAGAAAACCGCAUCGCCGGAGUUCGCCGACGGUUUUCAGAGCUCCGGUUAACGGCCAAUCCGCGAGUUGUUCUUCACAGGGUCGGUGUCGAAGGUCAGACGAGUACUGAGAUUUAUUCCGCGAGCGGGGGAAAAGCUCUAACCAGACGCCCUUCAUCGUCGUCAAUCGAGACCUCGACUCGCCAAACAAACCAGGUACAGUCUCGGUCCAAACGCUCUACUUCGUCUCUGUUUUGGCCGAGAAAGACAUGCUCGGUUCGAUCGAUUUUCUUGAAGAGAUCUUGAUAAAACGAAGUUUCUUUGUUGAUAACCAUGGUGUUUUAAGUCUGUUCGUAACGUGUGAGGCUCAGGAUCUCGUUAAAAUUAAGACAGAAAACCAUUGAAAAAUCUGCGUAUUACAUGUUUGAAAAAAUGCCUAAAAGAGGCCGAAUGUCAAGUCCCGUCUAAAUUCAAGAUCGAUUCGUACUUGCUGUGUUUUUUGUUGAAUCAUAUCUAAUGAUGGCAUUUUCUCUGUGUUUCUAUGUGAUAUCUUUGCUUGAGUCCAACGUACAUGCGUAUCUCCAAGGCCGCAAAGCUUUUCGUCAGAGUAUCCCCUUGCACCAGCGAAGUCAGCGUUUCCGGGACAUACUAGUUAGCCCAUCUCACUUCAUUCUAAUGUAUUUUUGCUUGUUAAUUUGUUGGGAUGCUGCGGUGAAAAGUGUGGAUUAGGUAGGAUGGUUUUUGUUAAGUUUUGUGAUAGAUGGAGCGGGCGGCCAGAGGUGGUCAACGUCGGUCGGAAUAAAUGAUCGGCGGCUGGAGAUAGAUCGGCGGUAAUCUAAGUUCUGGUGAUAAACUCGUCAACGAUGGUAUUUGUUCCGUUAAAAAGAAAAAAUGGCGCGAAAGGUGGGGUUGCAGGUUGAAGAUGGCGUUCGGGUAAAGGAUGUCCGGAGGAAGAAGAGGAAGUGCAGGCAGAAAAAGACAAAAAGACAAAAAACAAUUAGAAAAAAACAUUAAAAAUCCAGUUUUAAUCCGACGCGGGUCGGAUGCGGGUAUAAGGGUCGGGUCAAUGGGUCGGAUCGGGUAAACAGUCCGAACCCAUUCCCCGAAUAUAUUAAUAAUAAUAAUUAUUAAAAAUUUUAAAAAUCAAAAAAUUCAUUAAAAAUUUAAAAAAUUAGGAAAAAUUUUAGAAAAAUUCAGAAAAUGAUAAAAAAAACUUAGGAAAUAAUAAAAAUUUAGAAAAUUCGAAAAUCAAUAAAAUAUCAGGAUUUUUAGAUAAUCAUUAAAGAUUUUUAAAAUCUGAAAAAUAUUAAAAAAAAAAAUCGAUAAAAACAUUUAAAAUUUUGAAAAAUGAGAAAAUUCAUAAAAAAAUUUAGAAGAUUCAGAAAAUCAUCAAAAAAUUUAAAAAUUCAGAACAUAUUAAAAAAUAGAAAAUUAUAAAAAAAUUCAAAAAAAUUAGAAGCUCUUAGAAAUUGAACCCAUAUUUGGACAAGUCUUUAGAGUUUUACAAUAGGGUUCUUUAGUGGUUUGGAAUUUUUUUUUAUAUUUUUUAAGGAACAAUAUUAGGAAGCUUGAAUGUUUUCUUUUUAUUAUACUCAGUUGUACUUUUUAAUAUAUUGGAUGUUAUUUCUUUUGUUUUAGAAUGGUCAGGACAAAACUUAAAUUUUUUCGAUAGGUUGCUAUGGCAUUAGUUAACAUAACCAAGUUAGGUAUUGAAAGGGCGUUAGUCUUAGGGCUAACGUAAUUAAAUCCACGAGUCUAUAAUCUUUGAUUGUAUAAAAAAUAAGAAAUUCUCCUUUAUCUUAUUGAUUUCUAACUGCCCCCAAAAAAGCUAGUGGCCACUUUUUUGUUAAAAUUUACAUAGGCUAAAUUGAUUGAAAUUUUCAACAUUUAAAGUCACGCAUGGUAUGAAUUUGAGAGAGCUAGAGUCAAGGAAUGGUCAUUGGCCUUAAGUUGAUAAUAUUCCUAAACCUAACAAUGAGUUAGGUCACGACAAGUAUAUACUAGUUUUUCAUUCAAAAAUAUAUAGUUUAAUUCACAUCUUAUGCAAUGAGAGCAAGAGCAACGUCAUUGAUAGAAAAUGAUUAAUAAAACCUAAAGCAAUGUACCAAUUUCUAUUUAUAUGUUGGAUCAUAGCCUUCCUUAUUGUUGUGAUUUAUUUUGAGUUAACAACGUUUGAGAACAAAAUCCAAAAGGAUGACUCUACAAAAUUGCCACGCGAAAACCACAAAGCGCGAAGCAAUGUUGGGCAAAUUCACGAGAAAAUCUUGGGCCGACCCGAUUUGAAACAAGCUCGGGUCAAAAUGGGCCUCUUAAGACUGAAACGAUGGGCCGUUUCUCUUGCUAGCUUAAUUGGAACAUGAAUGUGGUUUGGAUUCGCUUUAUAUUUCAUGAAAAUUUUCUUUCCUACUUUUUAAUAUAUUUUUUUAUGAUGAUUUAGUUUUUCUAAGUUCUAAACUGGCCAAAGAAAUUAAUCAUGUGCUAUUGUAGUUUAUCAGUGCGGUUAAUUCACAUGAGUUUACUUUCAAAAAAGCUAAAAGUAACUCUAUUUGAGUAUUUGGUAAAUUCUCGAAUGCAGAAUUUGGUGUCAUCUAACCCCGAAGUAAAUUUUAACGCAUCCCGAUCAUGAAAAUGCUUUGACAAAGAGUUCGUUCAUAUUAGUAGUCUUAACUAGUAUCUUUAGGGCACUUCUACACUUUUAAACAAAUUUUUUUAUGUUAAUUGUAAUAAACUCUUCAAAAAAAUUCUUUUUAAAAAGUCAAGGGAUUUUAUGUUCGCUCUAUAAAAAAUUAGUUCGCUCUUAAAUUAUAAUGUGGUGGUUACUUACAAGUGGAACCCAUGUUAGGAUAUCACUCGGCAAAUCGACAGUCAUCAAGUUCAGAUUUUGGAUGAAUAAUGGCAGACGGAAAGAAAAGAAAAAAAAAUCAGAUUUUUUUUUUCCCAUAACAGUUUAGGAACCAUCUGAAGGAAGUGACACCCAGUCACAGCUGGAAAACCUAUCUGAAAUUAAUUGCUUGGAAAUAACUUGGCCAAAAAUAUCCCAUCAAUUAAUUAAUCUCUAUCCACUUCUCAUUUGAUGGAAGAAAAAUGUCAAAAGUAGAGUAAUCUUGAUUUCGAAUCUUACGCUAGUGACAGACACGUUGAUGACUUAAAGCAUCCUCAGUCACGUCAGGUUUGGACCAAGGCCUUUUUCUAGACGAUGGCUUCUUGACAAUAUUUAUCAUUCCAUAAAAUAUCAUCAAGGGGUCAAAAAAUUCGAAGAAACGAGGAAAAAAGACUGACGAGAAAGGAAUUGCGUAUAUUUUCAUUUUUGAUAUUUGCAAUAUCUUUACUUUUUAGUAUGUAUCCUCUAAGAAUCAAGCCAUUUGAUGGUCAUAGUAAAGACUCCGUCGUCCUGCUCUUAAUAGAGCAUGUCCCAUAUUAUUGUUUGUCUAGACUAAUCUAUCUUCCGUCAAUUGAGAAUUUAAAGGAAUAGCAAUAAUUUCCAUAGUUCGUCAAAUAGUUCCCUUGAAGUGCUUCCAAAAGGUCUCAUAUAUUCUAUCAUUCGCCUAUUGCGUAUCAAGUUCCAACAUAGCUAGCAACUUCUUUGCCCGACUUAACAUUGUGUUUAGCUUAUGGGGAUUCAUGUCUCCAGACUUAAUAACGAGGCCAUGUUUAUUUUUUGCCUGACUUGUAUCGAGCUUUUCAUCUCCCAUACUUUUUCUUGGAUGCUUUCGAUACUUGGUUGUUUACUUUAAAAAGCCAUUUUCAAUGGCCUAUAUGUUAAUUUCCUUUCUAGAAGCUUGAGACUAGAACAAUUUUUUAGGUGUCAACUUAAACUUUGGUGUCAAUAUUAAUGUAGAUAAUUUUGUAAUUUUUAAUUCUAUUUUUAUUCUCUUCACAGGGCUAACAAGACUGUCGAGCCCCCACGCUAGCCAUGGGGGAGGGUUUGUUGUUUCACAAAAAUAAUAUUUACAAUAUACCAAAAUUGAGAUUAGGUGAAACUUAAACAUGAAUGUGCCAUAUGAUAUCAAACUUCAAUCUGUUAGUACUCAGCUCAAUAAUUUUACAAGUCCAAUUGAGUUAUUCUUUUUGUAAAUUAUUUAUAUGAAUUUUGAGCCCAGUCCAAAUUGAAUUCAAGCGCAACUUCUGAAUACUUCAAUUUUCUUUUUCAAUUGAGUUCAAGCAAGAAAUUCAAUUCCCGAUCAAGCUAAGCUCGAGCGAAGUUUCAACCGGUCAAACAUGUGAGUCGAUGCGCGUGGACUGAGAGACACCAGCCGAGCAGGUUAUCACGUGGGCCGGUGGCACCUUUCGUCUUCGAGUCCUUGGCCGAUUCUUCAUCGUUCCAGAUUCGUUGGUCGAUUGCCACGUGUUCUGGUGGAUCCGACGCUUCAGAAUCUUCGGUUCUUUCUGCUUCCCUGGCUCUCUCUUUCCCCACUUUCUUCUUUCUCCUCCUUCAUACUUCUUCAAAACAAGAGUCAACUCAGAGCCGCCUGGCAGCCACAAUCCAAGAUCUCUGUCUUCUCGCCCUCGACACCGUCAGGGCCGUUCCAUCCAUUGUCGUUACGGGUCAGCUUCAUUUACUUUUGCACAUCUAUGGUUUUCCGCCGAUCCCGACGUGGAUCUCGCCCUCCAAACCCUCGCCGCCGCGCGUUCCUUCGUCGUCCAGCAGCAUAUUUAUCUGAAAUCGAAAGCUGAAAACGUUUUCACCAGCCAAAUGGCCCUGAGAGCGCUUGUUUCUUUGAAGCGAGCGAGCGAGAGCCAGAGCCAGGGCAUAGGGAAGAGAUCCUCGACUUUGCUGCUGAUCGGGGAUGGGCAACCCCGGGUCAGAGGCCGCCAAGCAUCUCCGAGAGCAAAGCCCACUCUGCUUCUGCUUUAAGCCCUCGAUUUUCAUAGCAAGACUCUCUCUCUCUCUGUUCCGAAGCUUGGCAUUCUAGAGAAGCACAUGUACCAUCAGCUCUUCUGAUGGCUGCUUCUUCGAAUAUGAAAAGGAAUUACCAUGUGUUCCUCAGUUUCAGAGGGACAGAUGUCCGCCAAGGGUUCCUCAGUCAUCUCUACGCGGCUCUGGGCCAGAAAGGAAUAUACACUUUUGUGGAUAGCGAGGAACUUAGGAAGGGAGAGGAAAUAUCGCCGACGCUCAUGAAGGCGAUCGAGGAAUCGCGCAUCGCGAUCAUCGUUUUCUCUGAGGAUUAUGCCUCCUCGCCGUGGUGUUUGGAAGAGGCUGUGAAAAUCAUGGAGUGCAAGGAGCGAAUGGGCCUGAUUGUGUUCCCAGUGUUUUACAAAGUGGAACCAAGAGAAGUAAGAGGAGGGAGAGAGAGUUAUGGGAGAGCUAUGGCUAAGCAUGAGUCCAAGUUCGGUAAGGAUUCAGAGAAAGUGAAGAGAUGGAAGAAGGCUCUCUUUGAAGCCAGUAGCUUGUCUGGGUGGGAGCUGAAUGACAGGUACGCGCAAAUGUGACGUGGUGUUUUGUGAUUGUUAGCUUGUGAUUGUUUGUUAGAUAUCAAAUCGUAUGCUCUUUUUUGGAUCUUCGAAUUGAAGAUACAAAGUGGAGAUAAAUUAGACAGUAGACACAUAAUCAAAUAACCGAAGCUCGUAGAUUCUUUGAAUUGAUUCUUGCUGUGUGGAUAAUGAGAAAUUUAUGUAACAUAAAUAGUGUGAUUCAUAGUGCCCGAGUCAAUAUUGUCUUCAGAUUCAGGUUCUUUGUAAUUUUCCUUGCGUAGAUGUUGGCGCAGGUACACCCACCUUUCAUCUUAUAUUUUGCUAAUCUUAUUAUGGAAUUUUACUUAUUCGAAAUGCUAAAACCUGUUUAUCUUUCUUGAAUGCUUAUCAGAAAUGAAGCGGAGCUCAUACAAUGCAUAGUAAAGGAAUUAUCAAUUCAUCUCAACCGAACGCCUUUACAUGUCGCUAAGUAUCCAGUCGGAAUAGAUUCCCAAGUUGAAAAACUUAUAUCAUUGUCAAAUAAAGAGUCCGAUGAUGAUGAUGAUGUUCUCAUGAUAGGUCUAUGGGGACCUGGAGGCAUAGGGAAGACAACAAUUGCCAAGGCCCUGUUUAAUGCUAUUGAGAGACAAUUUCAUGGUUGUAGUUUUUUGGCGCGAGUUAGAGAAACUUCGAACUCAAGUGGUGGUCUAGUUGCUUUGCAAAAAAAACUUAUGUCUGACAUCUUAUCUCAACGAGAUUUAAUGGUUGAUAGUGUCGAUGGAGGAAUUAAUUUGAUACAGGAAAGACUAUGUUGUAGGAAAGUUCUCCUGGUUCUUGACGACGUUGACCAGUUGAAUCAAUUGAAUGCGUUAGCUGGAGAAGGCAAGUGGUUUGGUAAAGGAAGUAGAAUCAUUGUUACAUCAAGAGAUAAACAUUUGCUAACUUCUCAUAGUAGACAUUUUGUAUAUGAAGUUCGGACUUUAGAAUUCAAUGAAGCACUAGACCUUUUUUAUCGGCAUGCUUUCCCAAAUAGCAAGAGAGUUGAAAUAAGAUGGGAUCUCAUAUAUAGAGCAGUGCAAUAUGCUAACCGCCUUCCAUUAGCCCUUGAAGUGUUAGGCUCAUUCUUACGUGGGAGAGAGGAAUCUGCAUGGGAAAGUACAUUACAUAAACUCUCCAAAAUUCCUGAACAAAUUAUUAAUCAAGUUCUCAAGAUAAGCUUUGAUGGAUUGGAGCACAACGAGAGGGAGAUUUUCCUGGAUAUUGCUUGUUUCUUUAAGGGGAAGAGCAUGAUGUAUAUUAAGGAAGUUCUCAAUAGCUGUGAUUUCAGCACAACCAUAGGAAUAGAAAUUCUCAUAGAGAGGUCCUUGAUAAAAAAUGAGUAUGGGUUCCUACAAAUGCAUGAUUUGAUUCAGUUGAUGGGUAAGGAUAUUGUUAACCAGGAAUGUCGUGAUGAUCCCAGAAAGCACAGUAGACUAUGGCUUUUUGAAGAUGUUUUGGACAUUCUAAGUAGUGAUAAGGUAAAGGUUGUGUAUGUCAAUUAUGCUACAUAUUAGUUCUUACAUUAAUCUCGUUUGAACAGUAUAAUGUAAAUCUAAAUGGAAAUUUUGUGUGGCAACUGAAUUUGCUUUGUUAUGGACAGGAAAUGAAUGCAGUAAAGGCCAUAGUAUUGGAAUUGCCUACAUCAGAAGAGAUAACUAUUAGUCCUAAUGCUUUCACAAACAUGAAAAUGUUGAGAGUGCUCAUUUUGCUUGGAGUGCAUAUCUCUUCACAAGGUCCUAUAAGUCUCCCUGAGGAGCUAAGAUGGCUUGAAUGGGCCAAUGCCCCGGAUCUAGAAUAUGGCUUGAAACUUGUUAGACUUGAUGUCAAGAAAAGUCAUAUCAAACAAUUAGGAAGCAACUUUCAGGUAAGCCCUUGUGAUGACUAGUUUUCACUUUUUAUAGUUAUAAAUAUUGGCAAAGCUCAAUGACUGCACUAAAAUCUUUUUGCAGAAUUUUAGAAAGUUGAAGUCCAUCAGUUUCAAGGAAUGCAUGUCCCUAACCGGUGUUCCUGACUUAUCAUCAGCUCCAAAUCUAGAGAGCUUGGAACUUGAUAGGUGCAAAAGCUUGGUGGAGGUACACCAAUCCAUCGGAUAUCUUGACAAGUUAAAAUAUUUGUCACUACGAUGGUGCUUUAAUCUUAGUAUAUUUCUUGGUACACUCAAGACAAAAUCACUUCAAGACCUUCGUCUCUCUGGUUGUUCUAAACUUGAGAAGUUCCCCUAUAUUUUGGGAAGGAUGGAACAUUUAGAAAAUCUUGAGUUACAAGGGACAGCUAUUAAAGAACUCCCUGUAUCAAUUGAAAAUCUGAUCUCUGUGAAGUGGGUAGAAUUAGGACAUUGCAAAAACCUCAUGAGGCUUCCAUCGAGCAUUUAUAAGUUGAAAAAACUCGAACGUCUGAGUCUUGAAGAGUGCUCGAAUUUUGUCAUGUUUCCAAAGAAUUUGGAGGAUUCAACUGAUCCUAAUGGCAAUUUGGGAUUCUCAAAUCUAGAGUGUCUAGAACUUGAUGGCUGCAAUUUAUUAAAAGUAGAGUUUCUUGACAGUUCUUCCAGUUUUCCCAAGUUGGCCUACCUAAGUCUAUCACCGACAAGCAUCAACAAGUAUAAUUAUCGGAAAGGCUGGUAUGUUGAUAAACGCAAGCAAUUACAAGAAUCAAAUAGGUGCAUCAUGGAAGUGAACAGUUGUAAUUUUCUACAGAAACUCCCAGAUUUGUUGAGUCUGCCCUCCGAUUGCCUUCAAGUUGACUUGAUUUCAUGUUGUGAAUGCAAAGGGGGCAAUAUGGCCGAUGUGUCCUCACUCGAGGUCAGACUCUCUCUCUCUCUCUCUCUCUCUCUCUCUCUCUCUCGCUAACUUUGAAUGCUUGAUAUGCGUACUGUGUGACCGAUGUGUCCUCACUCGAGGUCAGACUCUCUCUCUCUCUCUCUCUCUCUCUCUCUCUCUCUCUCGCUAACUUUGAAUGCUUGAUAUGCGUACUGUGUGACAGAGACUCCCAAAGAUGAUAAAAGUCGACAUUCUCCUCAGUGGAAGAGAGAUGCCAAAAUGGAUUCUCCAAUGUAAAGAUGGAUUCAUAUCUUUCAUGGUUCCUCGGGACUUGUACGACAAGUUCUUUGGAUUAGCAUUCUGUGUUGUUCUUGGCCUGGAGAAAGGAAAAGUGGUCAAUGAUAAAUGUCAGUUCCAAAUAUCUGUGAAUGGCAGAAGGGUGUUUGGGGAUUUAAGAAGCUUAUAUCAAUUAGAAUCCGAUCAUGUGUGGCUUUAUUAUCUCCCACGCAGUAAUCUUGGAUUAGAGAAGCUUAUGCAAAAUGAUUGGAGCCAUUUCCAAGUUUGCUUUGAAGCAUCGAAACUAAGCAUGAAGAAGUGCGGAUUCCGUCUAAUAUGCGAGCAAAAGGAGGAUGAUCUGAGGGUCCGUGCUCCAACACCAUCAGCUGAUAGAAAAAAAUUGGAGUUUCAAGGAAAGAGACUCAAAGGAAGACAAUUUUCAAUAGACACCGAGGAAGAAGAUAGUCCAGUGAAACAGAACUCAAUAAAGAAGAUGAGAUGGUUUUAACCAUGGCGAGAGUAUGGCUUGCAAAACAUGCCAGCUGAAUUGGUCACGAUUUGUUGAGGAAGUGAUUCUAGGUGAUUUUGAUUCCAAUGCCUCUUGCUUUACCCUUUUUUCGUCUCUACUGGAAAUUUGAAAAUGUCUGCUCCUUAGAUUAGAAUUCAAAAUCAAUUUGAAGUAGAGGUUUCGCAUCAUGCCUACCCAGAUGGUUGAGGAACUUCUUUUUUCGCUCUUUCUUUAUGAUCUGUGAUGCUGAGUACACUACUUCAAAAUUCAUCGGAUGCUUGUUGAAUGGCCAGUGUCUUCCAAGUUGCUUUGUGUAAUUUAUCAUGCGGACCUCUGUCACCUCUUAUAAUCUAAUUAAUGAUGCUAGCUAGCACUUUAUACUCUAAAAUUCUGAGAUAGCAAGUUUCGGUCAAUCUAAUAUAAUCUAUAUCUUUGGGAAAGCAUUGAUCUUAAUUGUCUCACAGAUCAGGAGGUCUAUACAAGGAAGAUUAGAAGGCUCCUCUGUUGUCUUUAUUCAGAUUGUAUUGAAUAGGUACAAAGGGAGAGCUUUAGCUUCAAGAUUUUGCAAUUAAGCAAAGGAAAUUGACUCAAAGGAAUAAAUCUUAAAGUGAAUAGUGUUUAACCCCUUGUGAAAAUACUUACUGCUAACGUUUCUUUAAUAAGAAAAAACAAAGAGAACAGAGGAACUUGCAGUUGCAUAUGAAAAGUCAGGCCGGGGCUACAACACUAGAACUGAUACCGACAUCAUGCGAUCCCAAUGCGCCCUGCGGUCGUGAGACCCCAUGCGGUGCGCCGUCGUUGUCACGAUGCGCAACUCCAUGGCCACACAAUAGGGAAGACAAUGCUUGAUCCUUGACAAGCUAGAUUUGACGUCAAGUGACCAACCCUUGGUCAAGCUUGCCGAUGUCGGAAAGCUGCACUGGUGUCUCCCGACCUUCUCGAAAAAGCAUCCCAGCCAUGAGGUACCAUGGUUUUCUCUUUGUCCCUAUCCAAGAUCGAGGGGGUAAAAUGAGAACAUCAAUAUAUUCGCAAGGGCAAGAUUAAAAAAAAAAAAACAUGAACAAGCAUGCCAAAGAUGUUAACCCCCAAGCUCUCGCUCGCCCUGAGCUUUGACCAUUUUCAAUGCAAAAUUUUUGCACCCAAAUAUUCGAAGACGUGUUCCAAAAUGCCAAAACUCUGGCUCAAGGGCUUUUGGAAAUUCAAAGCUGCUCGUCUCCCAUAUGUAGCUUGAGCGUCCUGGCUCGGUAAGGGCAGAAGUGUAAUUUCAUGAGUGCCAACUCAGUCGGCUCAUAAUUUGGGCCUCUUGACUCGGCCCCUUCCCCCGACAGAUAACACCUAAAAUUUUCUUCUGAAACCGAUCUUCGUGUCCGACGUCUUCCCGACUUUCUGAACCUUUUAGCCCUGAGAGCAAAAAUAGAAAUCUCGUUUUCUAGUUAUUUACUCUCUUUCUAAAUUUUGAAUUUUAACUUAUUCCACUUUAAAAUUUAAUAUGAACUUACAAUACUUUCUGAAUUGGUACUUUUUUAAGGCGAUCAAUAUUCACCGCUACAACCAUUUAAUAAUAGGAUUAAUCAAUCUUUUUUUUCAAUUUUUUUUUGUCAAGCUUGCACCCUUUUUAUAUAUAUAAUUUAAGAAUUAGGAGGUAAGAACAUAGUGAUUCAUGGUUCAACAAUUUACAUUAACCUCAAGAAAAAAAAUUAAACGUAGUUAUAAUUACUCUAAAUAUUAUUCUAUCAAAGAAAGAGCCAAUAAAUAAUCUCCAUACUAUAUAAGGAGUUGGCCGAUAUUGAUAAACAGUUAGGAGGACUAAAUAUUCAUUACCCUUAUUAAAAGGUUUACUUGUUUUCUUCUCUCAGAAUCAUACAAGUGUGAAAUAUUAUGUUUCCUUCAUUUAUACAAUAAAGAAUCCCUUAUACUGUGCACGCAAUUCAGGCUUUAUAUUUUAAUUUUUUUUAUUGUAUAAUUGAUGUACACAAAAUAUAAACACGUCUUUGUCUUUCUUCCUAUUUGGUAAAAAAAAAUCUUUACAAAAUAGCAUUUAUUAAUGUAAACACUUAAUUCGUGUGCUUUUUACACUAUAACUAUACUAAUACAACCACAAAAUAGAAUUUAUUGUAAAUUAUUAAUGUCUCUUAAAAAAAAAUAUAUCAAAUUGUUUACUCCAAGUAAUUUUACAAUGUUUUAUACCAAACAACGUAACUUUGCUAUCAAAAUACCUUCUCAUCUAUAGGGUUUACGAGGGUCUUCUAUAUAUGUAGUCUUUCUUUGUCUAAUAGCUUAAAUUUCUAGGUUGGACUAUUCAAUGUGAUAUCAAAGCCAAAUUCAAACCCAGUUUUUUUUUUGUAUAUGUGGCUCUCCAUCCAUCAAUUUCACCUAUCAUUUUAAGAUCGGUUUUGCACGCUAAAAGAGAUAUUAUAAUAUUAUACAUUGCUUGUUUACAUAAUUUACAUAAUUUAUACUUACCUUAUUAUCUCUUCACGAAUAGUGGCCAACAAAAAAAAAAUCAUAAUUAAGUGACUCCUACAAGGGCACGAUUACGUGUGAAAAAAGUUACUUUAACCUACUAUGAACUGAGAUGACAAAAACCAAUCAAAACAAAUGAUGUUGAUUAAGCUUUUUUAAGUCUAAAGUCCAAGUAUGCAAGGACUGACCUGGUUCAUUUUUUUUUAACAUAGUGAUCAAGAUAAUAUUUUUUACUUACUUAUAGUAGAUAGAAAUAAAAUCUAAUUUUAAUUCCCCCAAAAAGUUGACUGAGAUAGUGAGAGAUUGAUUCAUACGACAAAUCCUAUAUCUAAUUACAUACUCACCAUUUAGAAUAACUCUAAGGAUGCACACCCAUGAUCGACCCAUUGGCAGAUCAUGGGCAUGCAUCUCCCAAGCUUAUGGGGGUUCAUGUCCCAAGGUUAAAUAACAAGACAUUAUAUAUUCUUUCCCCAACUAAACAUCGUGUUUAGCUUAUGGGGAUUCAUGUCCCGAGACUUAAUAAUGACACAAUGUUUAUUUUUUGCCCGACUUGUAUCGAGUUUUUCAUCUCCCAUACUUUUUCUUGGAUGCUUUCGAUACUUGGUUGUUUACUUUAAAAAGCCAUUUCAAUAGCCUAUAUGUUAAUUUCCUUUCUAGAAUCCUAAGACUAGAACAAUUUUUUAGGUGUCAACUAAAACUCAGAUAUCAAUACUAAUGUAGACAAUUUUUAAAUUUUAAAUUUUAUUUUUAUUUUCUUCACAUGGCCAACAAGACCGUUAACCCCCUCACUAGGCAUGGGGGAGGGUUUGUUGUUUCACAAAAAUAAUAUUUACAAUAUACAAAAAUCGAGAUUAGGUGAAACUUAAAUAUGAAUGUGCCAUAUGAUAUUGAACUUCAACUUAUUAGUACUGGGCUCAAUAGUUUUACAAAUCCAAUUGAGUUAUUCUUGUUGUAAAUUAUUUAUAUGAAAUUUCAAGCCCAGUCCCCUUAUAUUUCAACAUAAUAAAAUUAAAUCCAAGCGCAACUUUUGAAUACAUCAAUUUUCUUUUUCAAUUGAGUUCAAGUAAGAAAUUCAAUUCUCGAUCAAGCUAAGCUCGAGUGAAGUUUCAAGCAAUCAAAAUACGUGAGUCGAGCUUGACAGUGCAUUAGCUCAUCUCAACGUGGCUAUCCUUUAUUUCGAGGACUAGACCUAGGACGCUAGCGCUUAGACUUGAUACCUCAGAGGUAGGUUGCGCAUCCUUGCGCGUGGAUUCAGACACACCAACCGAGCACGUUAUCACGUGGGCCAGUGGUACCUUUUGUCUUCGAGUCCUUGGCCGAUUCUUCAUCGUUCCAGAUUCGUUGGUCGAUUGCCACGUGUUCUGGUGGAUCCUACGCUUCAGAAACUUCCGUUCUUUCUGCUUCCCUGGCUUUCUCUCUCUUCUCACUUUCUUCUUCCUCCUCCUCCGUACUUCUUCAAAACAAGAGUCAACUCAGAACCGCCUGGCAGCCACAAUCCAAGAUCUCUCUUCUCGCCCGACACCGUAAGGCCGUUCGAUCCAUCGUCGUUGCGGGUCAGCUUCAUUUACCUUUGCACAUCUAUGGCUUUCCGCCGAUCCUGACGUCCAUCUCGUCCUCCACAUCCUCGCCGCCGCGCGUUCCUUCCUCGUCAAGCAGCAUAUUUAUCUGAAAUCGAAAGCUGAAAACGAUUUCACGAGCCAAAUUACCCUGAGCCCGGUCCAAUAUUUUCCUGAGAAUGGAACAGGCUGAGAGCGCUUGUUUUUUUAAAGCGAGAAAGAGCCAGAGCCAGAGCAAAGGGAAGAGAUCGUCGACUUCGCUGCCGAUCGGGGAAGGGCAACGCCGGGUCAGAGGCCGCCCAGCGUCUCCGAGAGCAAAGCCGACUCUGCUUCAGCCUUCAGCCCUUGAUUUUCGUAGCAAGACUCUCUGUUCCGGUGCUCGGCAUUCUAGGGAAGCACAUGUACCAUCAGCUAAUCUAAUGGCUGCUUCUUCGAAUAUGAAAAGGAAUUACCAUGUGUUCCUCAGUUUCAGAGGAACAGAUGUCCGCCAAGGCUUCCUCAGUCAUCUCUACGCGGCUCUGGACCAGCAAGGAAUAUACACUUUUGUGGAUAGCGAGAAGCUUAGGAAAGGAGAGGAAAUAUCGCCGACGCUCAUGAGGGCGAUCGAGGAAUCGCGCAUCGCGAUCAUCGUUUUCUCAGAGGGCUACGCCUCCUCGCCGUGGUGUUUGGAAGAGGCUGUGAAAAUCAUGGAGUGCAAGGAGCGAAAUGGCCUGAUUGUGUUCCCUGUGUUUUACAAAGUGGAACCAAGAGAAGUAAGAGGAGGGAGAGAGAGUUAUGGGAGAGCUAUGGCUAAGCAUGAGUCCAAAUUCGGUAAGGAUUCGAAGAAAGUGAAGAGAUGGAAAAAGGGUCUCUUUGAAGCCGGUAACUUGUCUGGGUGGGAGUUGAAUGACAGGUACACACAAAUGUGACAUGGUGUUUCGUGAUUGUUAGCUUGUGAUUGUUUGUUAGAUAUCAAAUUGUAUGCUCUUUUUUGGAUCUUCGAAUUGAAGAUACAAAGUGGAGAUAAAUUAGACAGUAGACACAUAAUCAAAUAACCAAAGCUCGUAGAUUCUUUGAAUUGAUUCUUGCUUUGUGGAUAAUGAGAAAUUUAUCAAACAUAAAUAGUGAUUCAUAGUGCCUUAGUCAUUAUUGUCUUCAGAUUCAGGUUCUUUGUAAUUUUCCUUGCGUAGAUGAUGGCGCAGGUUCACCCACCUUUCGUCUUAUUAUUUGCUAAUCUUCUUAUGAAAUUUUCCUUAUCACGUUAGAGGUUGAAUUCCUGCUAUGGCUUUGAAAUGCUAAAACGGGUUUUUCUUUCUUGGAGUGCUUAUCAGAGAUGAAGCGGAUCUCAUACUAUGCAUUGUAAAGGAAUUAUUGAUUCGUCUCAACCGAAAAUCUUUACAUGUCGCUAAGUAUCCGGUUGGAAUAGAUUUCCGAGUUCAAGGACUGUCAUGCUUGUCACAGAAAGAGUCGGCUGAUGAUGAUGUUCUGAUGAUAGGUCUAUGGGGACCUGGAGGCAUAGGGAAGACAACAAUUGCCAAGGCCCUAUAUAAUGCAAUGAUGAGACAAUUUCAGGUUUGUUGUUUUUUGGAGCAAGUUAGAGAAAAAUCAAACCGAAGCGAUGGUCUUGUUACUUUACAAAAGGAUCUUCUAUCUGAGAUCCUGGUUCAUCCUUUAACGGUCUACAGUGUCGCUGGAGGAAUUAGUUUGAUACAAGAAAGACUAUAUUGCAAGAAUGUUCUCCUGGUUCUUGAUGAUGUUGACCAUAUGAGUCAACUGAAUGCAUUAGCUGGAAAAAGCAAUUGGUUUGGAAAAGGAAGUAGAAUCAUUGUUACAUCAAGAGAUAAACAAUUGCUGACUUCUCAUGGCAUAAAUUGUGUGUAUGAAAUUCAAACUUUAGGAUGCCAUGAAGCACAAUAUCUUUUUAGUCUGUAUGCUUUCCCAAAUAGCAAGAGUGUUGAAAUAAGAAGGGAUCUCAUAGAUAAAGCACUGCAUUAUGCCGACAGACUUCCAUUAGCCCUGGAAGUGUUGGGCUCAUUCUUACGUGGAAGAAAGGAACCUGCAUGGGAAAGUACAUUGCAUAAACUCUCCAAAAUUCCUGAACCAACUAUCAAUCGAGUUCUCAAGAUAAGCUUCGAUGGAUUGGAGAACAACGAGAGGGAGAUUUUCCUCGAUAUUGCUUGUUUCUUUAAGGGGAAAAAUAUAGAGUACAUCAAGGAAGUUCUUGACAGCUGUGAUUUUCACACAGCCAUAGGAAUAUAUAUUCUCAUGGAAAGGUCCUUGAUAAAAAACCAGGAUGAGACCUUGGAAAUGCAUGAUUUGAUUCAGUCAAUGGGUCGGGAUAUUGUUAAUGAAGCAUGCCGUGAUGAUCCUGGGAAACGCAGCAGAUUAUGGCUUUUGGAAGAUGUUGAGGACAUUUUUUGUUAUAAUACGGUAAAAGUUGUUUAUGUCAGUUUUGCUACAUUUCAGUUUACAUUACUCUAAUUCAGACGGUAUAAUGUAAAUCUUAACUUGAAAUUUUGUCUAACAACUGAAUUUGCCCUGUUAUGGAUAGGGGACGGAUGCAGUAAAGGCUAUAGUAUUGGAAAGGUCCCCACCAGAAGCAAUAAUCAUCAGUCCUGAUGCUUUCACAAAUAUGAAAAGGUUGAGAAUACUCAUUUUGCAUGGAGGGCGUAUCUCUUCACAGGCUCAAGUACGUCUCCCUAACGAGCUAAGAUGGCUUGAAUGGUCCAAUGCCCCGAAUCUAGAAUUUGGCUCUGGUCCAAAUAAACUCGUGAGUCUCGAUGUCCGGAAAAGUCAUAUCAAACAAUUAAUGGGCAACUUUCAGGUAAGCACUUGCGAUGAUUAGCUUUUCCUUUUUUAUAGCUAUAAACAUAUUUGCAGAGCUUAAUGACUACACUAGUAUGUUUUUGCAGAAUUUUAGGAAGCUGAAGUCCAUCGAUCUCUAUGAAUGCAAGUCCUUGGUUAGUAUUCCUGAUCUGUCAUCGGCUCCAAAUAUGGAGAAAUUGAUUCUUAAUGGGUGUGAGAGCUUGGUGGAGGUCCACCCAUCCGUUGGAAAUCUCAAAUGGCCAUGGCAUAUGGACGUCUUUAUUGAAGUAACAAAUCAAAUAGCAAAAUAUAGCAUGGUCAUAGUGUAAAAUCUUUUAUAAAUCAGUAUGAUGAUAACACAUCAAACAGAUUAUCCACGAGCUGAUCAUUUUGGGAUUUAUUCAAUUUUUGUGUGUGUCUAUACAUAUACAUGUGUAUAUAUAUAUAUAUAUAUCUUCUAUGGUUAAAUGAUGAUAUAUCUCUAUAGUAUCACUCUAGUUAUACUAUAGAAAGUAUCACUAAAAUAUGUGUGCUUCACUCAUUCAGUUCUCUGUUUUUUCUUUAAUCUGUUCAUUGGGGGGUGAUGACUUGAGAUGAGAAUUUCUUUUUUCAAUUUUUCAUUUUUUGAUUCGUACUUUCUUAGUUGUCUUAAUAGUUAAACUCAUUAUUUACCUUUUUUUUUUGCCAACAUCAUUUUAUUUUUUAUCUUUUAAUUUAUAUAUGAUUUUUUAUUAUUAAAAAGUCAUGUAAGCAUACCAUGCAAAUAUUGUUAAUCCUGUCAACUACCACAGAGGAUGUCUAUUGUCAAAAUUGGAGGAAAUUGCAAAGGAAGGUAAAAUUGGGACAAUGGUACAGCUUUGACAGUUUUUACUUGUCCUAAGAUAAUUUGUGGUAAAUAUGUUUAAGUCAUAACAAUUUAAGAUUUUUUAUGAUUUAACUCUAAUAUAUAGAUGUAUUAUCUCUUUCCAUUUUCUCCUCUUGCGGAGUCUUGAGUUCCAUUUCAUUUGGCAAGUGAAAAUGCUAAGUAAUUUUCUUGGAGAACAUUGGUUAAGUCAAGUUCGUAUUAGGGAUUGCGUUUUACUUUAUUUGUUGCGCGCUAAAGUUCACACUCUCUCUCUUUCUGUCCCAUUAGCGACCCUUCGUUUAAGUCUGGAUAACCCCAGGUGGUCGUCUAUUCAGGGGAGGACGAGGAAAGUUCUGAAAGGAUCAUUUUCGAAUAUUGGCUCCGAUAGUUAUUUCCUGUUGGGGGGGCGGGGGGCGAAAGGAUCAUUAUAGUUCCGCGGUUUACGCAAAAGGAAGACGAAAGUCAAAAAGAAACGGACAAAUAGAUAUGGACCUUAGCAGAAUCUCUACUUUACCUUGUCUGUGAUCGUACGUGUGAGCUCCCGAAACAAAAAAGAGACCCCCCGGCACUGAGUGGAAUCUGAUACUUUCUUUGGCCUUUGUUCCAUUGCGUAACUCAUACUCCACGAAAAAAGUGAUAUAAAUAGAUGAGAUUGGAAACUCCAUCGGACGGUAGACAUUCUUGACGCAAAUCAUUCAUUAGCUCUUUCAAUGGCUUCUUCUUCUUUGAAUCCAAAAAAAUAUUAUCAUGUGUUCUUAAGUUUCAGAGGUCUGGAUGUUCGCAAGAGCUUCCUCAGUCAUCUCUACACAGCUUUGGACCAGAAUGGAUUAAACAUUUUUAUGGAUGAUGAGGAGCUUAGGAAAGGAGAGGAAAUAUGCCCAGCGCUCAUGAGGGCAAUUGAGGAUUCGCGCGUCGCAAUCAUCGUUUUCUCUGAGAACUACGCUUCCUCACGGUGGUGUUUGGAAGAGCUCUUGAAAAUCAUGGAGUGCAAGGAGCAAAACGGCCUGAUGGUGUUCCCAGUGUUUUACAAAGUGGAACCAAGAGAAGUGAGGGAGGGGAGAGAGAUUUAUAAGACAGCUAUGGAUAACCAUGAGUCCAAGUUCGGGAAGGAUUUAGAGAAAGUGAAGAGAUGGAAGAGGGCUCUCCUUGAUGCUGGUAACUUGUCGGGGUGGGGCUUCAGUGACAGGUACGCACAAAUGUGAUGCAGUGCUUUGCGAUUGUUAGCUCUGAUUGUUUGUUAGAUAUCAAAUCGUAUGUAUAGCUUUGAAUUGGCGAAACGAUGCAUCAAGUUCUUUGAAUUCACAGUAGACACAAAAGUCAAAAGACCAAAAUUUGAAGCUAGCAGAAAUUUUAGUCUUAGAUAAGUAGUGUGGUUCCUAGGACCCGAGUAAUGAGUGUCUUCAGGUGCAGAUUCUUUGUAAUUUUCCUUCCGCAGAUGUUGGCGCAGUUAUGUGUUAUUUCUUUUCAUCUUAUUAUUUGUUAAUCUCCUUAUGAAAUUUUCCUUAUGACGUUGGACGUUGAAUUUCUGCCAUGGCUUGAAAUGGUAAAACAUGUUUCUGUUUCUUUUGAGUGCUCAUCAGAAAUGUAACAAAUGAAGCGGAGCUCAUAGAAUUCAUCGUCAAGGAAUUAUCGAUUCGUCUCAGACCACGAUCCUUGUAUGUCGCUAAGUAUCCAGUUGAUAUAGAAUCCCGAGUUCAAAAACUGAUAAGUUUGUCAGCGUCAGCUGGUAGUGAUGUCAUGAUGAUAGGUCUAUGGGGACCUGGUGGCAUGGGGAAGACGACGAUUGCUAAGGCCCUAUAUAAUGCUAUAGAGAUGGAAUUUCAUGGUUGUAGUUUUUUGGCGCAAGUUAGAGAAAUAUCGAACCAAAGCAAUGGUUGUGUUGCUUUGCAAAAGCAACUUCUAUCUGAGAUCUUACCUCAUAAAGAUCAAACGGUCUACAAUGUCGACGGAGGAAUUAGUUUGAUACAAGAAAGACUAUGUCGCAAGAAGGUUCUCCUCAUUCUUGAUGAUGUUGACCAUAGAGAUCAACUGAACGCAUUAGCUGGAAAAGACAGUUGGUUUGCAAAAGGAAGUAGAAUCAUUGUUACAACAAGAAAUAAACAAUUGCUGACUUCUCAUGGCAUAAACUGUGUAUUUAAAAUUCAAGCUUUAGGAUACUGUGAAGCACGAGACCUUUUUCGUCUGCAUGCUUUCCUAGAUAGCGAGAGUGUUGAAAUGAGAAGGGAUCUCAUAAAUAGAGCAGUGAAUUAUUGUGACGGCCUUCCGUUAGCCCUCGAAGUGUUGGGCUCAUUCUUUUGCGGGAAAAAUGAAGAUGCAUGGGAAAGUGAACUGCAAAAACUCUCCAAAAUUCCUAACCUAGAUAUUAAUCAAGUUCUUGAGACAAGCUUUGAUGGAUUGGGGCCUAACGAGAGGGAGAUUUUCCUCGAUAUUGCUUGUUUCUUUAUGGGAAAGCAAAUAGACUACAUCAAGGCAGUUCUUGACAGUUGUGGUUUCUUCACAACUAUAGGAAUAGAAAUUCUCAUCGACAGGUCGUUGAUAAAAAAAGAGGAGGAUGGAACAGUGCAAAUGCAUGAUUUGAUUCAAUUGAUGGGUAAGAAUAUUGUUAUUCAGGAAUGGCCUGAUGAUCUUGGGAAACGUAGUAGAUUAUGGUUUUACGAAGAUGUUGAGAACGUUCUCUAUGAAGAUAAGGUAAAGGUUGUUCAUGUCCAUUUUGCUGCAUCUUAGUUUUUUACAUUAUUCUAAUUCAGAGAGUCACAUGUAAAUCUCAACAAAAAAUUUUCUCUGACGACUGAAUUUGCUAUGUUAUAUGCAUAGGGAGAGAAUGCAGUAAAGGCCAUAGUAUUGAACUUGCCCGCACCAGAAGAGAUGACCAUUAGUCCCGGUGCAUUUGCAAACAUGAAAAGGUUGAGAAUGCUCAUCUUGCCUGAGGUGCAUAUCUCUUCACAAGGUCCUGUACGCCUCCCUAAUCAGCUAGUUUGGCUUGAAUGGCCCAAUUCCCCGGACCUAGAAUUUGGUCCUGGUCCAAAGAAACUUGGGAGACUUCAUUUCCGGAACAGUCUUAUCAAACAAUUAGUAGGCAACUAUACGGUAAGCCCUUGUGAUGAUCAGCUUUCCGUUUUCAAAGCUGUGAAAACAAAUGACUGCACCAGUAUGUUUUUGCAGAAAUUUAUACGUUUGAAGUCCAUCGAGCUCUUGGAUUGCAAGUCCCUGGCUAGUGUUCCUGACCUUUCAUCGGCUCCACUUCUUGAGAGCUUAUAUCUUUUAAUGUGUGAGAGCUUGGUGGAGGUUCACCAAUCCGUCGGAGAUCUUGACAAGUUAAAACUUUUGACGAUAUCAAGGUGCUCCAAUCUUAGGAUGUUUCCAAAAACACUCAGGACGAAGUCUCUUCAAAUACUUAAUCUCUCUAAUUGCUAUAAACUCGAGAAAUGCCCUGAUAUUCUGGGAAAGAUGGAACAUCUAGAACGUUUUGAUUUAGGAGGGACAGCUAUUAAAGAAGUCCCCGCAUCAAUUGAAAAUCUUGUCUUUGUAAGGACAAUAGAUUUAGGAUAUUGCCAAAACCUCACAAGGCUUCCAUCGAGCAUUCAUAAGUUGAAAAAUCUUCGAUCUCUGAUUCUUUACAACUGCUCGAAUCUUGCCAUGUUUCCAAAGAACUUGGAGGAUUCAAUUGAUCCUGAUGGCAAUUUGGGAUUCCCAAGUCUAAGUUCCCUAGACCUUCAUGACUGUAAUCUAUCGGAGGCAGAGUUCCUUGAGAAUGCUUCCAGUUGUCCUAUAUUGACGCAUCUAAAUCUUUCAAAUAACAAAUUUACUCAUUUGCCGACAUGCAUCAACAAUUAUGAUUAUUGGAAAGACUUGUUUGUUUAUAGAUGCAAGCAAAGCAAAGGGGUCAGUGGAGCUGAUGGGUCAUCACCCGAGGUCUCUCUCUCUCUCUCUCUCUCUCUCUCUCUCUCUCUCUCUCUCUCUCUCUCUCUCUCUCUCUCUCACGUUUGGAAUGUUUGAUAUGUGUACUAUCUGUAUGACAGGUAGUUGAGAUUGUUGCAAGUGGAAAAGAGAUGCCUGAAUGGAUUCUCCAUUGUGAAGAGGACUCCAUAUCUUUUAUGGUUCCCCCAAACUGGUGGGACAAGGCCUUAGGACUAGCACUCUGCGUUACUUUUGAUCAGGAUAAAGAAGACCCGUUCGGAAAUGCAUUUCAGUUCAGUAUAUUUGAUGACGGCAUAAGAGCGUUUGGCCGUUCGAUAUUUGCUUGUCCGUCAACUUCUGAUCUUGUAAGUCUUGUAUAUAUCCCAAGCAACAGAAUGAGAGAAGAGAAGCUUCUGCAAAAUGAUUGGAUCCAUGUCCAAGUUUGCUUCAGAAGACUGAUAGGAAGAAUAAAGAAGCGUGGAUUCCGUCUAAUAUGUGAGCAACAGGAGGAUGAUCUGAGGGUCGGUUUUCCAACGCGGUCAGGCGAUGGAAACAAAUUGGAGUUUCAAGGAAAGAUACCCAAAGAAAGACAAUUCAGAGUCACUGAGGAAGAAGAUUGUCCAGUGGAAAAGAACUCAACAAAGAAGAUGAGACGGUCUUAACAAUGGCGAGAGUAUGGGUUCAACUCGCACCAAUUGUUGAGGUAGCGAUUCUUGGGGAUGCGAACUGGGUGAUCUUGAUUCCAAUGCCUCUUGCUUUUCCCUGCUUUUUUCUCGUCUCCACUAGAAAGUCGCAAAUGUCUGCCCCUUCAGUGUCAAUUAUAAAAUCAUGCCUCUUGCUUUUCCCCGUUUUGUCUCGUCUCUACUAAGAAAUUUGCAAACUGCUCCUUCAAUUAGAAUUCGCAUAAUGCUACUGACAUGGUUGAGGAACAUUUUAUGUCCACCUCGUUCUCUAUGAUCUGCGAUGCAAAGUGCACCAAUCCAAUAUUAAGUGGAAUGCUUGCUGAAUGGUCAUGGUCUUCCAAGUUCAAUGAAACAUAUCACAUCGAACUCCGUCACCUCUCUUAAUACAAAUAUAUUUUGUUUUUUUAAUUUAAUAAAAGUCAUUUACAAAUGUAAAUUUUACCAAACGGUAUUUUGGCAAAAGUUGUUUUUCAAUGCAAAUUUUACCAAACUUUAUUUGUAUUUCGGAAGACCCCCUUCAUCCAAAGGUAUUUGCAUUUCUACAAAUGCAUUCCUCAAAAACCGAACCAAACGGGCCCUAAGACUUUGCGUAUAAGCAAAGGGUAUUGACUUGAAAGAUUUUCAUGAAAAGCGAAUGGUGUUUGACAAAUGCCUUGUAAAAUAUUUAUUACAGAACAAAUUUUAGUAUAGAGAAGAAAAAUAAGGAAAAAAAUAGAGAAGGAAGGAACUUGCAGUUAUAUAUGAAAGCACAAGCGGGGGCGACACAACAGUUGGACCAGUGCCGAUAGUGUGCAACCCUAGGCAACGCGCCUCUAAAGUUGAGCAAACCUGGCAACGCAACACCGAGGUCGAGUGAAACUAAGCGACACAACACUAGUGUAACGCAACCCCAAGUGGUAGAAUGCCGGGGCCACACUACUAGGCAACGCGACGCUUGACCCUCAGCAAGCUAAAUCUGGCAUCAAGCGACCCUCGCAAAGCUCCUCGACGUUGCGUGACCCUCGGCAAAGCUUAACCAAUGUCAUUCAACACUCGGCAAAGCUGUACCAGCGUCCCUGGGGCCCUCUUCAAAGCUUCCCGGCCAUGAUCAACCACAUCUUUCUCUCUCCUAUCCAAGAUUGAGGGGUAAAAUAUGAUUGCAAAUAUAUUAGUGAUGGUGAGAUUGGAAGAAAAAAAACUUUAUUAAACCCCUAAACUUGCAUGUCAAAAAUGCUAAAGCCCAUACUCAGAGGUUUACCCUGAACUUUGUGCGUUUUCAAAGCAAAACUUUGGAUCAAAAUCUUUGAAAUUGGGUUAUCAAACAUCAAAUCCUUGGCUCAAGGCCCCUUGAAGGUCCAAAAUAGCUUAAUUCAAGAUGACUGAGCACUCAAAUUUUAGUAUAGUCAAAUUUAAAUUGCAAAUCCAUGUUUAUGCGAGGUAUGGUCUUGGGAGAGAUUUAUGAUUGAGGGUCCGUUUGCGGUGUUAUCGAGUUAAGGUCCAUUCGAGACUUUAGCUUGUAUGUACCAUUUGGUCGCAACACUUAUUUCAAAAACAUUGUUGGCGGUUUAAGAUAUCUGGCUUCUAUUAAGCAAUAUAUUACUUAUGCCUUUACCAAAAAAAAAAUAUAUUACUUAUGGUGUGGGAAUUAUUGGUAGGUUCAUGGGGAAGUCAUACCAAUCUCAUUUAUAGGCAACAAAAAGAAUUUUAUGGUAAGUGGAACUUGUAAUCAUGGAGUUUAUGUUCUUGUACUAACAAUUUCAAUCUAGUGGUGUAUACAAAUAAUGAUUGGGAUGGUGAUAUCGAAACUCAAAAAAGCACUUGUAAAUAUGCUUUCUUUCGUGGAUCACAAAUAAUCUCUUGGUCCUCUUAAAAACAGGUUGUUAUACUCUUGACUACUAAAGCAGAAUACAUAAUAUUAGUUGCAGUGGCAUGUCAAACAAUGACUUCGGAGAAUAUUGUGUGAAUUAAUGCAUGAACAAAAGGCCCACCAAGCAAACACAGUGCCAUCAAGUAUUACUAUAUUCAUGGGUGUGUCAAAAAUGGUGAAAUCGAGCUUAAUUUCUACAAAUUAGAAGAUCAAGUUGAAGAUAUUUUGACGAAACUAUUAAAAGUGGAUUCUUUCAAAAAAUUAUGGACCAUUUUUGGUGUUGGUGAUUUCCAAAUUCAAUUUUAAGACUAUCAGAAUGAUAUAAAAUUGAUUGUUAGAUCGUUGAAAAUUUGAACACGUCACUUGUUGGUUUCUAUAUAGACUGCUAGUGUUCUUCAAGAAGGUUGCAAGCAUUUUAUCAAGAAGAGCCAUUAAUGACUUCAGGAUGGCUGUUUAUCUAUAUAUGCAAACAAAAUAAGCGGUUUGUUUUUUUUUUUUUCAUUAAAUGGUGUGUGGACUGUUUUGUUUUCUUCAAUAAAUGUUAUUGACAUUUGUGCUUAAUUUGUGUGCAUUUGGCUUCUAUAUAAAGAUCUGAAGUUAAAAAAUUGUUAGUAUGAAAUCACAUAAAGAAAGCAUUCUAAAUAAGAAGUUCUCCUCAUCUUGUCUAUAUUAUUUAUUUGGUUCCAACAAAGUGUUGAUCAAAUUAUCUCAAAGAUGAAAAGGUCUAUACGGGAAGAUUAGUUGAUUUCUCUCGUUACAACUUAGACUUUGCAAGUGAGAAAAAGACAUUGACUCGAAAGGAUUUGCAUAAAAGAAAAUAGUGGUCGGUAAAUAAUGUGCAAUAAACUUAUUGCAAAGCAAUUUCUAAAAUAAGAAAAAAAAAAAGGGAAAAUGAAGAAAUUUGCAGUUGUAUAUGAAAGUUCAGGCAGGUGGCACAAUCAUAUCACCGGCAUUGACGUCGCGCGACCCUAGGGAACAUGCUGCCGAGGUCGGGCACACCCUGGUGGCGCAACAUUAGGGCCACGGACUAGGCGAUGCGACGCUCGACCAUUGGUGAGCUAGAUGGCAUUGAGCGACCCUCAACAAAGCUUGGCGAUGUCUCCCCAGUCAUCGGCAAAGCUACGCUGGGGUCCCUUGAUUUUUUCCGCGAAGCUUCCCAGCCACAAUCCACCACGGCUUUCUCUAUUUCCAUCCAGGAUUGAAGGGUAAUAUAGGAAUAGUAAUAUGUUAGUGACAGCAAGAUUGGAAGAAAAAAAAAACCAUGCCUCGAACUUGGAGCAUUUUCAAAGCAAAAUUUUGCACAAAGUAUUUAAAAUUAUACUAUAAAAAACAAAAUUUCGGGUCAAGGGCCUUCAGAGGCCCUCGUAAAUGCUCUCUCAAACACUGCAGCAUAUUGGCUUUAUAAGAGCAAUGCAAUUUUAUGAGUGCCAACUGAACCCAUAUACUUUGUCAAGAAGUCUUUACCAAAUAUAAUUUGCAUGUCCCUAAAAAGCUUUAAACUUUUAGUAUUUGUAUUUUUCCAAAGCUCAUUUCCAAAAUCGAACCAAAGGCAGCUUUAGUUGGCUCAGCAUUUGGACCUCUUGAGUCAGCCCCACCCCAACAAAUCACCACUGUCCAUCAUACCCUGCCUAUCGGCACGGAGUAACCGAGAUGCAUUUCAGUCUCAUUUUGUACUUUCGCUCCACACCCAUCGACUCAUCUCUCUCUUAAGGCCGCAUAGCAUCUCCCCGUUCUUGGGGCCACUACAUAUCAUCUUCAAAAAGAAAACUCAAGGGAUUUAUUUUCACUCUAAUUUGUUCUUAAGGCUCAAUUCCUUUCACAAAAAAUAAUUUAUAGAAAAACGUUUUUUGGAUUUUCCAAAGGGAAAAAAGUUCUCUAACGUUGGGAAAAAUAUUUUUCACUUUUGAGAAAGAGAAAAAUCUAUUCAAUUCCUUCUUUCACCUCACUUUCCUUUAUCAAAUAAUUUUUUCCUUUUAUUAUUUUUAUUUUUUUAAUUGUUUUUAUUCUUUCAUUUUUUUCCUUUUUUUUAAAAUUUUUUUCCACCUAGGCAGGGCUUGAGCCUCACCAAAGGUUGCCAGACAUCAGCAAGCCUCUGGCAACUUCCGAUGAGGCUCGAGCCUCACCCAAAUCAUUGAAUCUGGCAAGCUCGAGCUCGUUGGUGUUAGGUGAGCUCGGCCUCACUGGCCUGUGGUGAGUCUCUAGCUCACCUUUUGCCAGUGGCCAACUGUUGUUGGGGCUAGUGACCGGCCAAUGAAGAAGAAAAGGAAAAGAAAAAAUUGAAAAAUCUAUUUUUAAGAAAAUAUAUAAUAAUAAUAAAAUUAUUGAAAUGAGUGCAUGAAGGAAAAGAUUUUCCCUACCAAACGGCGAAAAAUAUUGUCAAGUACAUUUUCAGGUUUCAAUCGAAGAACGGAAAAUAUGAUUAUUUUCCUGGAAAAUGGUUUGGCUUCCAGGAAAACAUUUUACAUUUUCCAGAAAAGUCAUAUUUUCCGCAAAAUGGAGUGUAAAUUAUAUGAAGAUCUCCCUUUUUUUACCACUACAAACUAAUUGAAAUAGAGCAGGCCAAAUACAUCAUGCAUUCACAAGAUCACGAGCGUGCCAUAUUGCAUAGACUAGUACUAAUGUUAUAGCACAAAAAACUAUGGUUUAAACUAAGUGAAAAUAUAGUCUAAACUUACCACGGAUUUGACACAAUCUAGAAACGCUUGGAAUAUUAUUGUAUAAGAAGAUCCAGUAAUUUGUUUAGCUUUUAGAAUCCAAGUUCUAAUAGGAUCACGUGAUAGCAUAUGUUUUCAUUAUUUAAUUAGUUAAUUUAACAUAUUUACCUAGGAGUACGGACAAAAAACGAAUUUAGGUAUGUUCCUUUCAAUUAUUAAGGUUCUCCAUGGUAAAAUAAUUCCUGACUUAUAGAAUGGUAUCUUUUGGCAACUGCUGCUCCAAAUAUUUUUCUCUUCCCUUUCCUUUUCCAUAUGGUGAAUUUUUAAGGGUUCUAUACUGCGGUAUGACUUUUUUUUUUUUUUUGGUCAAAGCGGUAUGACUUAUUGAGAUGUGAUUUUUUUACGGAAGAAUGGGUCAACUUCAUUCCUCAUAUGUAAAUUAAAUCCCCAUCGAAUUAUCAACCUUACCAAAACUAGAAAUCAUAUAAGCAAUCAUAAAUUAAACUCCGAACUUGUUUCUUAAUAAUGCGAUACAAGUGGAAUCAAUGUUAGGAGAUCACUUGGCGAAUUGAGAGCUGUCGAACUCAAAAUUUGCAUGAAAUACAGCAAAUCGAAAAAUAAAAUCAGAUAAUUUCCUUUUUUUAUUACAAUUUCAAAGCAUUACUAAACUUUAUUUGAGGAACCAUAAAAGAAAAUGGCACCCAAUCUACUACUGCAAAACCUAUCUGAAAUUAUUUGUCAGGAGGUAAAUAAGGCCAAAAAAAUCAUCUGGCAAUUAAUUAAUCUCUAGCUAAUCGUCAGGUAGAGUGGUCUUGAUUUCGCAUCUUGCAUCAAUGACAGAAACAUCCAUGACUUCUAGCAUCUUCAAUUAAGUUAGGAUGGGCUAGGCCUUGUACUAGACAAUGAUUUCUUGACAAUAUUUGUCAUUGUGUGGGUAUUAUGAAGGGGUUAUAAAAAUCAAAGAAAUGGGGGGAAAUGAAGAACGAAAAAGGAAUUCGUGAAUUUUUCACUUUUGAUUUUCGCAAAUUGUUUCCAUAGUUUUGAGGUUUCAGUAAAUAAUCCUCUUAAUUUGCUUUUUCAUUGGCAAUUUUAUGCAUAAUUUGUAGAAUAUAGGAUGGCGCAAUGGAUAUGUAUUAUUUUAUGUUUUUUCUUAUAGAGUAUUUUUUAAUAAGGAUCUUGGGUACCUGUCGUGAUCUCUUUUUUCGGCAUCCGAUUAGGGCGGGCGCCGACGGAGGCUAAUGGCUUGGUUAGGUCUCUUAGGCCCAACCCGGACUCUCCCAAGCCCACCAAUUCGCGACUUAUGGUUUGAGUCUUUAGUUUAUAGGUUAAUUUUAAAAAAGAGUCGCCACCAAUCAGUUUGAGGUGAGUCAUUUAGAAAUCCAAAAAAAAUAUUGAGAGAAAUAUUCGCUUUUGUGCAAUCAGAUAAAUUAGGAUCGGGGACUUGAUUACAUUAAUUAAUCACUAAUACUCUUUCGGUAUCUGAUCUUGUUUAAACCCUAAAACUUUUUGGAUUUUUAAGGGUUUUCUAUGCAUUUGUGGAGGAAAAACAUUUUUUUGACAUUUUUCUAUUUUUUAAACAUAAAAGGGAUUUUUGGAUUUUUUUUUUGGUCUUUUAUAAAUCAUUUUUUGGCUUUUUCUAACUUUUUUUUGGCUUUUUAAGGAAAAUAUGGGAUGUUUUUUAUUUUUUUGAUUUUCUGGAAAAUAAAUUAUUUUUUAUUAUUUUAUUAAAAUACUAAUUUUUAAUUAUAAAAAAAAGCGACCCGGGUCGGAUUCCCCGGUUGGGACCGACCCGGUUCACUGGCCCUCAGCCCGAAUGGCCGACCGCCGGCCCGGAGGGCCCUAGGCGUGGGCUCGGCCCAUACGCGACAGGGGCCGGUUGGCCCGGACAGACCAAAAACCCUACCCGGUUAUGACCCGCGUUCGACCUAACUCAGUAGCCGCGACCCGAAUCCUGAAAUCCAUACCCGGAUCCGACCCGCUUGAGGACAGACUUAAAAACCCUAGUGGCAGCUUUCGUCUUCUGAGUCCUUGGCCGAUUCUUCGUCGUUCCAGAUUCGUUUGUCGAUCACGUCGAUCUCGCCCUCCACACCCUCACCGCCGCGCAUAAGCAGCAUAUUUAUCUGAAAUCCAAAGCUGAAAACGUCUUCACGAGCCAAAUUACCCUGAGUCCGGUCCAAUAUUUUCCUGAGAAUGGAACAGGCUGAGAGCGCUUGUUUCUUUAACGCGAGAAAGAGCCAGAGCCAGAGCAAAGGAAAGAGAUCGUCGACUUCGCUGCCGAUCGGGGAAGGGCAACGCCGGGUCAGAGGCCGCCGAGCCUCUCCGAGAGCAAAGCCCACUCUGCUUCAGCCUUCAGCCCUUGAUUUUCGUAGCAAGACUCUCUCUUCCGAUGCUUGGCAUUCUAGGGAAGCACAUGUACCAUCAGCUCUUCUAAUGGCUGCUUCUUCGAAUAUGAAAAGGACCAGAUGUCCGCCACGGCUUCCUCAGUCAUCUCUACGCGGCUCUGGACCAGAAUGGAAUAUACACUUUUGUGGAUAGCGAGGAGCUUAGGAAAGGAGAGGAAAUAUCGCCGGCGCUCGUGAGAGCGAUUGAGGAAUCGCGCAUCGCGAUCAUUGUCUUCUCUGAGAACUACGCCUCCUCGCCCUGGUGUUUGGAAGAGCUCUUGAAAAUCAUGGAGUGCAAGGAGCAAAACGGCCUGAUUGUGUUCCCUGUGUUUUACAAAGUGGAACCGAGAGAAGUAAGAUGAGGGAGAGAGAGUUAUGGGAGAGCUAUGGCGAAGCAUGAGUCCAAGCUCGGGAAGAAUUCAGAGAAAGUGAAGAGAUGGAAGAAGGCUCUCCUUGAUGCUGGUAACUUGUCUGGGUGGGACUUCAAUGAUAGGUACGCGCUAAUGUGAUGCAGUGCUUUGCGGUUGUUAUCUCGUGAUUGUUUGUUAGAUAUCAAAUCGUAUGUAUAGCUUCGAAUUGUCAAAACGAUGCAUCAAGUUCUUUGAAUUCGCAGUAGACACACAAAGUUGAAAGGCCAAAUUUCAAGCUAGCAUAAAUUUCUGUCUUAGAUGAGUAGUGUGUUUCCUAGGACCCGAGUAAUUAGUGUCUUCAGGCGCAGAUUCUUUGUAAUUUUGCAUUCUGCAGAUGUUGGCGCAGGUAUGUGUUAUUUCUUUUCAUCUUAUUAUUUGUUAACCUCCUUAUGAAAUUUUCCUUAUGACGUUAGACGUUGAAUUCCUGCCAUGGCUGGAAAUGGUAAAACAUGUUUCUAUUUCUUUUGAGUGCUCAUCAGAGAUGAAAGAGAUGAAGCGGAGCUCAUACAAUUCAUCAUCAAGGAAUUAUCAAUUCGUCUCAGACCAAGAUCCUUUUUUGUCGCUAAGUAUCCAGUCGGUAUAGAAUCCCGAGUUCAAAAACUGAUAAGAUUGUCAGAGUUAGCUGGUAAUGAUGUUUUGAUGAUAGGUCUAUGGGGACCUGGCGGCAUAGGGAAGACGACGAUUGCUAAGGCCCUAUGUAAUGCUAUUGGGUGGCAAUUUCAAGGUAGUAGUUUUUUGGCACAAGUUAGAGAAAAAUCAAACCAAAGCGGUGGUC